UUAAAGUUGUUGAGGUUAAAAAGCUCGUAGUUGAACCUUGGGCCUAGCCGGCCGGUCCGCCUCACCGCGUGCACUGGCUCGGUUGGGCCUUUCCUUCUGGAGAACCCCAUGCCCUUCACUGGGUGUGGUGGGGAACCAGGACUUUUACUCUGAACAAAUUAGAUCGCUUAAAGAAGGCCUAUGCUCGAAUAUAUUAGCAUGGAAUAAUA
RNAcentral lists this ribosomal RNA (209 nucleotides) under uncultured eukaryote. RNAcentral describes it as "partial 18S ribosomal RNA". It matches the Rfam family "Eukaryotic small subunit ribosomal RNA", at positions 604 to 819 of the family's 1831-position model. The record is from RNAcentral.